Molecule: unclassified non-coding RNA, 217 nt
Filed under: uncultured Tomentella
Lineage: Eukaryota; Fungi; Basidiomycota; Agaricomycetes; Thelephorales; Thelephoraceae
Description: sequence contains ITS2
Source: RNAcentral
ACACCUCAACUCCUCAUGGCUUGCCAUGAUGAGCUUGGACCUGGGGGUCUUGCUGGCCUGCAGUCAGCUCCUCUCAAAUGGAUCAGCUUGCCAGUGUUUGGUGGCACCACGGGUGUGAUAAACAUCUACGCUUGUGGUUCACCAUGUGUAACCUUCAGUGAUGGAGGUUCGCUGGAGCUCACAAACGUCUUUCCUCGGUGAAGACAGCUCUUUGAUC